Long non-coding RNA from Clupea harengus (Atlantic herring), 9010 nucleotides. Lineage: Eukaryota; Metazoa; Chordata; Actinopteri; Clupeiformes; Clupeidae. The record is from Ensembl.
UUCAAGCCCUCAUUAGAUAUGUCAAGCUGAGAAAACAGUGGCAGCCUAAUCUGAGGUCAGACAGCACCCCGUCGCAAAAAAGCCACCACCAUCCUUUUUUUCUCACUGAGCAGUCUACAGCUGACACGAUAGCGGUUUGAUGUAUUGUGUUGUCGUGUGGUGUGUGGUGUUGCAGUGUGGUGUGUUGUGUUGCGGUGUGUUGUGUUGUGUUGUUUAGUGUUGUAUGGUGAUGAGCUGUGUUGUGUCACUUUUCAGUUUGUGCCACCAUUCAGUUUCUUAAUACUCUGUCUGUGGCCGAACAAGGGCUCAGAAUGUCCUCUGAAAGCAUGACAACAUGUCUUCUAGAACACUCCUUCAGGGACUCUUGGAAUUUCAAACAGACCCCCACUCUCCCCUGCCCCCCUCCGCUCAAAAACACACAAACCACUAGACCAAAGGUUCAAGGACAAUUUGAAUUUUUAUUUUAUUUAUUUCCUUAGCAGGGACAGCGCAUAGUAAUGAACAUUGUUGUAAAUAUGCCAGAGCUAGUCAAAAGGGCACAUUUUCAGGCUCCCUAAGAGUAAAAGUUUAAUACAAAGAUUAUAAAAAUAGUUAAAAAAAAGCAUGUAAGUACAGUACAGAGUAUAGAGGCAUAUAGAAAACAGAGCAAGAAAGACACAGAGUAUGUGUGAGCACAUGGAUCACACACAUAAGCCACUGUUUGAAAUGAGAACCGAUCCGUGUUGAGUUCUCUGAUAUGUGUUGGAAAAGAGUUCGAUUCUUGUGACUCUUGCACAAAACACAGACUGACUAAAGGCACUUCACCUACGUUGAAUAAUGCAGUCUCCUCUUGUAACUCCUCUCGUGAUCCGGUCUUGGUUUGUUCAUGUUCUAACUCCGAGUGGUGGAGGAGCCACACCAUGCAUGGUGGUGGUGGAAGUGAUUUGGUUCAUUGGCAAUAGUUUCAAGUGUCUGUGUACACCAAGACUGUAAUGGUUAUAAUAUAGUGUGGUUAAGCCUGUGAUUCGCUCGUCAAAAAGUACAUCUCGGCCUCCUCAGUGUCCAUUGAGUUUCUUAUCGACCUAAAAUACGCUAGAUCCUGUUGGAUCUGUUUGCAGACUUUGUUUUAAACCUGAGCCCUGAGGUUGAGGUUGGAGUCUAUCAGAAUAUCAGAAGGAGGUUUUUAAAUCCUUUUACAAUCUGUGAUGUUUCUCCCAUCACAAAAACAUCUGGGUCUACAGUAUAGUCAUUUGUCUUGGUGAAGAGCAUGGCAAGCUUUUUUUGACCCAUUUACAGUAGUAGCAGACAACACAGAUUGAGCACGGAACCCAAUUAAAAUCCAGUGAAUGCAAGGGACUAAAAGUAUGUUUUCAGUCUAGCUUUAAAAGUCUCUAUGCAGGCAGCAGAUCUGAUGUGUAAUGGGAGACUAUUCCAUAAUUAAGGACCAACAACAGUAAAAGCUCGAUCACCCUUAAAUUUGAAGGUAAAACCGAUAAAAGUUCAUUAGAGGAUCUUAGGACCCUUGGUGGAGCAUAAGGGGUCAGUAGGGUUGAUAUAUAGGCUGGAGCUAGACAUUUCACAGCCUUACAAAUAAACAAUCAAAUGUCUAUGAGCCAUUGUAGUGUAGAGUGGCUAAAACAGGUGUGAUGUGAUGAAACUUCUUGGUCCUUGUUAAAAGUCUUGCUGCCGCAUUUUGGACUACGUGCUGUUAAUGAAAUAAUAUUCUGAAAGAUAUAAAAGCGUAGAAGCGUAAUGUGAUGGGGACAGGACAUGUUGCACUUCAGCUAUUUUCUCAGUGGACGUAAUGAAGGGUUGACCACAAAGGUUGUUUGUCUGUCGGCUUUUGAAUAGUGAAAGUAUAACCUUGACCAUGUCUGAACAAAACUUGCGUUUUAGUGGCGUCAGCAUACAUUUGGACAUUAACCUCAUGACAAACAGAUGGCAGGCAAUAUAUAAACUAAAUAAGAGUUGGCCCAGUAUGCAUCAUUGUGAACCAGUGAACAAGCGAAGGGCAUCUGAUCAUUGAUGCUAAUGUAUUCAAACAGAUUGAGAUCGUUUGGAGAGGAAGGAUUCUACCCAUUUAAAGGAAUCAACAGAAAAGUUAAGGUAGAUAACUUAUAAGAACUCAGAGUAGUGAUUCAGUGGGUGAUUCAGAGUAUUAAAUGCUUUCUCGGGAUGCAUGGGUAAUGUUAGAUUAGAAGUGCUUUUACUGUUCUUCAAAAUCAAUCCAUAUUUCAAGCAUUCAAUCAACCAUGCAUUACUUGAAGAUUACUUCUAUACAUUUUCCUCAGGCACCAGAAUCUAAAAGUGCAUUGCCAGCAAAAUAGACAGAUUUGCUGGAUAUGAAACACCGAGGUAUGUGAAAUUUAGCAUCAACCUAAUCAGAAUAGGUUAGGAUCAGUCAGCUCACUUUUUAAAAUAUGGUGUCAAUUCAUCAUUUCCCUUCUACUUCUGUCAGUAUGCAUGACAAUCUUAUCGCUGGAUUUUUCUCUGGGAUAAGAACGCUUCGUCAUCAAGGUGCUUCACUUACAUUCAAGGAGAACUUAAACCCACUCCAAGGUUCACAAGACAACACACAGGCAGACAUGCACAGAGAGACUGAGACUGUGGUGAGAGUGCAGUGGUGCAGAAGAAGCAAAGAGACUGAGAGGUGAAGGAGAGGGGGAGAUAGAGAAAGAGAAAGAAAGAGAAUAUGGCAAGACUUAAUGUUAGAUUUGAUAAAGGGAUUGACAUAUUUACCAAUGUUUUAAUGAUGUACGCUCUCAUGGGACCUGUUUCCGUCAUCUGGCAGAUAUUCACCAUAUUGACACAUCAUAUCUUCAAUGUACAACAUACAUAUAUGUUUCAUAAUUACUUGAAAGCUACUCUUUGGCUUUAAUCCAUGCUGCUUUGUGUGAUUUUGUUAGACACAGAAGACCACCGCUUGCUAAUAGUUUGUUGCCAUCUUUGUUUCCCCCUUGGAUGGCUGUUCCAUACAAGGUGCGAUCAAAAUGUUAGGAGACUGCACCUAUUAAAAGCAAAAUCUGAUUUAACUUUGGCCUCCACCUUCUCCAAGGUAGUCAUCUUGUGCAGCGAUACAUCACUCCCAGUGCUCCUGCCAUGCUUGGAAAGCUCCCUGGAAGUCCCAUAUCCACCGCCAUCUGCUCUCUGGAUCUCCUCCACUGUGUCCAAACGGCGACCUUUCCGCUUGAACGUCAUCUUUGGGAAGAUGAAUAAGUUGCAGGGAGCUAAAUCUGUCAAGCAGGGGUGGUUUUCCACACACUGUUCCAGCCAAACUGUUUGGGGAAGCGAGGGGGAAGAUCCUUGGCGGUGAUUGACAGAGGAAUCCAUGCAGCAGCAGCAGCAGCAGCAACAGCAACGAGGCACACAGGUGUGUGUCAAAGCCUGCUCUUCAGCGAUAACUGAAAACUGCACAUGGAGAAGUCGGCGAUGCAGACAGCGUGGGAUGAUCAGGGGUCUGCAGAGAAACCAUCUGGGAGGCUGGAGGUAAUGAUAUGGAUUGUUCCUCCUGAAUGAUCGAAGGGGGAGAUUUUUUUGUUUGCAUUCUGUCAUUCUGCUGUGCUCUAUUUCCCUGCUUCGCACAAUGUUUUCCAUUUUCCUCACUUCUGUCUCGGCGUCUCACCCGCUCACACUCACACAUGCACACACACACACACACACACACACAGAGACAAACACAGAAACCACACAUUAUUUCAUCUCUACUGCUGUUUCUAUUUGUCCUCCUAUCUCUAGCUUGGUUUGCUCACAAAAAGUUCAGAGGAGAGGAAAGCAUCCACACAAUGUAAUGAUAGUAACCCUAUGAAUACAAUAAGACCCCCAUUAUGUUGUAAGAGCAUUGUGUUUGCAUGCUGGCUGUACUCUCUCCCCUUCGACACCCUGUAACCUGUAUGUAGGCUCUGCAUGGUCUACAUCCGUUAUGCCAAUAUUAUGUAUUAGGGAUGUUGGGGGGAGAGAAGUUGCUCUUUAUUAUUCAGCUCCAUGAUUGACUUGCUUGUGCGUCAGCCAUUAUGUUUCUUCAAAUUGUAAGGCAGAAAUGGAUCCUAGGAAUGGAAAAUCACAGAUGGCCUUCUUCCUCUGGUAACUGCUCAUUUGGUGAGGCCUAGGUGUUGGUUUAUGGUCCCUCCAACAAACAUUCCAGAGAUGCACUGUCCCAAUUGUUGAUCUUCCCACCCCCUGCUGAGACUCUUAUCUCAAACCUAUGUGCCUGGUUCUCUCUCUGUGCUUUUCCAUGCCGGGGUGAAACUAGGGGCAGAGAAAUGAAUGUAAGAGUGCUUAAGUGAAAUACUGCAUUGUAAUAUGAUUUCUUUGUCAUGUUUGGGUUUAUUUGAAUGGUCUCAGUCUGAGUGAUAAAGUGGUCUCAGUCCUGCAGCUGCAUAGAUUAGUUUUAACAUGGAUCUCAAAGACAUGAGAAUUCCGGUCUCUGUAAGUCGUAAGGUAACCUCUCUCUGGAGGGGGCAAACACCCUCCUUGGGUGAGAACCCCCUCCAUUUGUCUCUGUUAAUGUGUGAUCCUAAGCACGAGAAACCACUGCUCAUGUGGGUAAUUAAUAAACCAGAUGCAGGACUAAAAUGGGUACUUAAGGGUAAGACAGUCAAAGAACUUGGAGCAUUCUGUCUUCAGAUCUCCCUCACAUCCGUGUGAGUAGUCACUUCUAAGCAGCAGGUAUGUUCAUGUUCUCUAAGUGUUUUUAUGUUUCAUGUGGUGUUUUAGACUUAUGUUCUUCACUUUAGACUUGUUAGAUUUGUAACCUGUAGUAGUCACUUGUACCUGACGUAAUAAAUUGGUAAUUCUGACCCACUAUGGCCUCUGCUGAAAUUCUUAACUGAUAAGUAUUCAGGUCAGGUGUUCCGGUAAUACCGACUAGGAUUUGGUUACAGACAUAUAUAGCGGCGACAAGCGUAAGACUUGAGGUUCCUGGCUAGAACCAACUGGACUAGACAUGCUGCAGAUAAACUGUUAAUGGUAUAAUAUAGGGAUAGGAUUGCUGACCAGCCUCUGCACUGGAUUGAAUGGACAUACAUAGAGCGGACGAGCAGUCUGGCGCUCUUUCACUGAGCCAACUAGAUCGAACAAGCUGCAAAGUCACUGUAACAGCCCUGUAGGACCUCUGGGCUAGUCCAGAAGUAGAUGCGGGUUAUGUCUGUGGAUUUGUCAAAAUGGAAUCGUCCAUUGAUCCUUCAAUGACACUAUUCCAGUGAAGAACACGGUUACUAAAGAGUAAGGGAGGAAAUUCAUACUACAGUUGGACAUCAGCCUACAUUCCCGGUAGAAAACUACAGCAAAAGUGAGGAGCUUAGACUGGGUUCUCAAAAGAGUGGAGUCAGACACAGAAAAUGGAGUCAGAUUAAGUGAGGUCGUACUAAGAAAGGUGUUUUAAUACAUUUUACUUUUUCAGCAAAGCAAAGAGAGAGACGAAUCCACCCAAACCUUCCCAGACGCCUAUUCCCUCAUUGGUCUAGGAAAUUGCUGUCUUACAAAAUCGAUUAAUAUCUUUGUGAAUGGCUAUUGUCUUUGCAAAAUAGGCCCUUGAUUUCACCAAUUAGUCAUUGCAUUUACAAUACAUUAUUGAAAAUGGAUUGGUAUAUUCUGUAGUCACCCCCACUGAGGCAGCGCACAGCAGGAAAGGGAAAGCUGGUGAAACAAAAGCCUGGUGAAGCAGCUGGAUUUCUUUCUGACCCCUACAACCUAUCCCUCACCAUUCUUAGCUGUAUGUGUUCAUUUCUUCCAUUUAAAAAAUCUGUUGAAAUAUUGGAAAAAACACCAUUUACCUUGUAUUUCAGACAAUAUUCAUCCAUUUUAUGAUGCAACAUGCAGUCUAUAUGUCUGCCAUAGGUCUCAUGGAAUUUCGACUUCGUCAAAUAACACCCUACCAAAUAACCUAUUUCAUGGAUUUGAUGGAUGUUUCCAGAGGGUGAUGCAGGCCUACCCAUCUGCCACUUUGUGGAUCCACCACUGGGACAGUGAUGAAAUAAUUACACUUUUCAAUGCAAGCCUUGCAAUCUCUGACUCAUGGUCAUUGCACUGCAGGUAGGCUGACGUGUCUCCACACACCCUGGUCCUCUGCGUUGUGUUUCUGAUGGGUGGGUGGGGUUGGUGUGGAGAGAAACAUGUCCCGGACACAGAGGUUCUGGGUUGUGGUUAAGACCUUGGUAACCCCUAAGUGGCAUAAUGACUCGUAUCUGCUGCUGUACAUCACAGUGGCAGCCGGCUCCAAUACCUUACGGGGAAGUGAAAGUAAACUUAAAAAACAAAAAAAAACACAUAUAUAUGUGUAUUAUUGUACAUUGAUAUAAACUACAGCAUCCUAAACAUGUGAUUUUCUGCAUGACAAUAAAUGACCAACUGAGAUCUCAAACUAAAGUUUCUUCCCACACUCUGUCCACUGUAUACAGAUAUGUAUACAUGUAUGUAUGUUCGAACAGUAAACCAACUAACCAGUAAACUAUCCAACUCAUUUUACUGACAAUACUGUAGCGUGUUGGGGGUGUAUGAGCGGACCGUCCCAACAUGCCUUGGGCGAUGGACUAUUGUUUGGCCCAGAUUGUUAUUGAGCGGUUGUCUGGUAGUGGUUUACGUGACCGUUAUCAUUUUGCAUUGUACUGAUUAACACCUAUGUUAGUUUCUUGUGUUGUGAUCUGUCCACCGUAAACAUGACUGUCAGCAUGAAUGAUGUCCUGGCUUCCUGCCGUUCCUACCAUUGUGUGUGAGUUCCUUCCUGUUGACUGUGGCUGUCACAAUAAAAGGCCUUUUGCCAAAAAAGAACCUGGCUCGCCACAUUGGUGUCAGAAGUGGGAUAAGUAGAUGACAAUGACACUACAGGAAAUUGAGGAACUCAUCACGUAUCUGCAGGGGGCACGGCGGAUAGCAAACAUUCAAGCAACAAACACUAAAAAGAAAAUAUUCAAACAGUCUUCAUUAGACUACCCUGAGGCCUUGUCCCCACUCGCCGCUUCCCAGAGGUUAGAACUCCAACGGAACCGGCAUCUUCUGCUCAACACAUCCAAUUGCCGAAGGAGUGCCGGAUCGCUGACACUGAGACCUGGAGAGACCUGGGACUGACUCUGACAGACAGAAGUGGCAGGGGGUAAUGAAGCCACCGUGCUACCAGAUACGUACCUCAUCCAAGAUGGCAGCCCAGAUAUACGUGUGGUCGGCGUAAGUGAACGCCGGAGUGGAGCGGAGUUUCUGUGCUAGUGUGUGUGUGAGUUCCUUCCUGUUGACUGUGGGUGUCAUAAUAAAAGUCCUGUUGCUAACCUGGCUCGCCACAAUAUUUCAGUACAAAACACAGGCGUUCACCACUCAAAACCACUCACAUGGAACUGUACUGAAAUAUCUUAAUAAACACAACAGAUGAACAGAUUAACAGGGUGGGUGGUUUUAGUUUUUAUGAUAAUGUAGGUCGCCAUUAACACUGCUUACCUUACAGAGUAGUGAAAGUAAACUUGAAAAAAAAAAGAAAAACAUGGCGUCAUAGGAACGAAUUUUAGGACUACGGUAUCGCAGAAGGGAAAAACAGAAUUGCGAGAAUUGCUGGUUUCUUUGGUGAAUAGACAGUGUGGUGUAUUCAAGAUACUGCCUUACAUGUACCCCUUCUAAUAGCAGUUAGAUAACAUAAUUUAAUUCAAUUAUAUUUACCAGUAUAAAUAAAAAUUGUCUCAAGGCUGAACUCCCUACAGCAAGCACUAAGGCAAUGGGGGCAAGGAAAAACUCCCUUUCAAGAGGAAGAAACUUUGAGCAGAACCUCAGCUCUAAGGGGGGGGGGGGACCCAUCUGCUUGGGGCUUGCUGGGUAGAAAGACAAAGAGAGAGGAGGGGGCAGAAGGGAGGAGAAGAGAGGAGGAGGAGAGAGAAUCGGAGGCAAGCAGAUAAAUUCAUACACACAUCAAGAUAAAACAUAUUAGCAUACAUGCGGCAUACAUAGUACAUACAACAUACAACAUUCCAUGACAGAUACAAGAUGGUAUACAUGAUACAUACAAAACAGACAGUGAAUAAAAAUGGAAAGAGCCAGCAUUCAAAGUAUUGGUUGUAGAACGGCUUAGUGGGAAUACAGUGUCCUCAUAAGGUUGCUAUUAUAAGGAUAAGCAGAGCAGUGAAGUAGAAAACUGCCAAUGAUGCCAUUUGUUUAUAUCACAGGUAAAUAGGCUGGCAUACAGAAUGCAAAUGUAUAAUAGGCAGAGUAGAAUUUGAGCAUGACAGGUGGUAGUGGGAAGCUGUUAGCAGAGGGUUUCUGCAAGGAGACUACAGCAGAGAUGAGUAGAGUAGGAGGGGAACAAAAGAGACAUAGUGGCAGGACAGAGCUAGAGUGCUAGCCUUAUACGCGUAUUAUGAAAUUAUAGGUUACCGUGAUGAGGAGCAAUGUAAUCACAGCCAUCUGAAUUUGCAAGCAAAGGUCUGCUACUACAUAUGGGGGAGAACAGAGACAGGUUAGUUAACAGAAUACAAAAAUGAUGCACUUCCAAUUAUCAAUUUCAUUAUACUAUGGCAUGCCACAGGCUAUCCAGGGUAAUAAGAAUAACAGUUUAAUGUAAUGUUAACACAUAAAGCUAAAUAGCUUGUUUAGGUUUGAUGAUUAGGCCUGCUUUGGUAUGAUUAUGUCUAUGGUUAAGACUAUGUUGUCUUGAAUAAUGUGAAGUUGUCAUAACAAAGACAUUGACCGGUUAUGUUGUCUUGGUUAAUAUUGUUGCCAAGUUGUCAUGACAAAGGCAAACUAAAAUGGCAUUAAAGUAUUUGAACACAUAGCUAACCUGCAGUUUGUCAAUGUUACAUUGAACGUUAAAAUCCAGCAUUUCAAUAAAAAGAAUUUGAAGCACCAUGUCAAGUAGGCUAGCACAUCCUAAUUCUAUGUUUAUAUUAUAUUACUGUAAAUUACAUGUUUGGUAUACGUCAUCGAACCCAACCCAAACUCGAACAUCCUUUCCGAGCCACAUUAAGCCUAUUGUGUAUGGACUAGCAUUUCUCAUUUGUGUUUCAAGGAAUUAAACAUUAAUUAGAAUUAGCUCAUUCACAUUUCCUUAAUGAAACUGUCU